RNAcentral lists this RNase P RNA (345 nucleotides) under Laurencia snackeyi. RNAcentral's name for it is "Ribonuclease P RNA". It matches the Rfam family "Bacterial RNase P class A", at positions 43 to 351 of the family's 367-position model. From Rfam's summary of the family: Ribonuclease P (RNase P) is a ubiquitous endoribonuclease, found in archaea, bacteria and eukarya as well as chloroplasts and mitochondria. Its best characterised activity is the generation of mature 5'-ends of tRNAs by cleaving the 5'-leader elements of precursor-tRNAs. Cellular RNase Ps are ribonucleoproteins. Lineage: Eukaryota; Rhodophyta; Florideophyceae; Ceramiales; Rhodomelaceae. The record is from RNAcentral.
GAGGAAAGUCCGGGCUCUAUUUAUAGAUAAUUUGUUGUAUAAUAUACAAUGUAGGAAACUAUGAGGAGAGUGCCACAGAAAUAUACCGCCUUAUUAAAGGUAAGGGUGCAACGGUUCGUUAAGAGCGCACCAGGAAUAUUGUCAAGAUAUUUGCUAGGUAAACCCCGUUUUAGAGCAAAGUAACUGGUGUAUAUAAAAUGGAUGAUAUUUAUAAGCUUCAUUUAUAUGACAUUUUAUUUUUAUAAUACUGCAUUAAGUAAAGUUUUUACUUUAGAUUAAUAAUUACCCUUGUUAUAUUAUUCAUUAAUUUAUUUUGAUUUGGAUCAAGAACAAAACCCGGCUUAU